GCUAAAUGCGGAAGAGAUAAGUGCUGAAAGCAUCUAAGCACGAAACUUGCCCCGAGAUGAGUUCUCCCUGAGACUAUAAGUCUCCUGAAGGAACGUUGAAGACGACGACGUUGAUAGGCCGGGUGUGUAAGCGCAGCGAUGCGUUGAGCUAACCGGUACUAAUGAACCGUGAGGCUUAACCUUACAACGCCGAAG
This 195-nucleotide ribosomal RNA is filed under the name Klebsiella pneumoniae. RNAcentral describes it as "partial 23S ribosomal RNA". It matches the Rfam family "Bacterial large subunit ribosomal RNA", at positions 2748 to 2925 of the family's 2925-position model. Lineage: Bacteria; Pseudomonadati; Pseudomonadota; Gammaproteobacteria; Enterobacterales; Enterobacteriaceae. The record is from RNAcentral.